This 382-nucleotide ribosomal RNA is filed under the name uncultured bacterium. Its description in RNAcentral is "bacterial SSU rRNA". It matches the Rfam family "Bacterial small subunit ribosomal RNA", at positions 30 to 406 of the family's 1533-position model. The record is from RNAcentral.
AUUGAACGCUGGCGGCAGGCCUAACACAUGCAAGUCGAACGGCAGCGGGGAGUAGCUUGCUACUCUGCCGGCGAGUGGCGGACGGGUGAGUAAUGCCUGGGGAGCUGCCCAAUCGAGGGGGAUACCAGUUGGAAACGACUGCUAAUACCGCAUACGCCCUGAGGGGGAAAGGUGGGGAUCUUCGGACCUACCGCGAUUGGAUGCACCCAGGUGGGAUUAGCUAGUUGGUGAGGUAACGGCUCACCAAGGCGACGAUCUCUAGCUGGUCUGAGAGGAUGACCAGCCACACUGGAACUGAGACACGGUCCAGACUCCUACGGGAGGCAGCAGUGGGGAAUAUUGCACAAUGGGGGAAACCCUGAUGCAGCCAUGCCGCGUGUGU